This 765-nucleotide ribosomal RNA is filed under the name uncultured Streptococcus sp. RNAcentral describes it as "bacterial SSU rRNA". It matches the Rfam family "Bacterial small subunit ribosomal RNA", at positions 28 to 776 of the family's 1533-position model. Lineage: Bacteria; Bacillati; Bacillota; Bacilli; Lactobacillales; Streptococcaceae. The record is from RNAcentral.
GACGAACGCUGGCGGCGUGCCUAAUACAUGCAAGUAGAACGCUGAAGAGAGGAGCUUGCCCUUCUUGGAUGAGUUGCGAACGGGUGAGUAACGCGUAGGUAACCUGCCUUGUAGCGGGGGAUAACUAUUGGAAACGAUAGCUAAUACCGCAUAACAAUGGAUGACCCAUGUCAUUUAUUUGAAAGGGGCAAAUGCUCCACUACAAGAUGGACCUGCGUUGUAUUAGCUAGUAGGUGAGGUAACGGCUCACCUAGGCGACGAUACAUAGCCGACCUGAGAGGGUGAUCGGCCACACUGGGACUGAGACACGGCCCAGACUCCUACGGGAGGCAGCAGUAGGGAAUCUUCGGCAAUGGGGGCAACCCUGACCGAGCAACGCCGCGUGAGUGAAGAAGGUUUUCGGAUCGUAAAGCUCUGUUGUAAGUCAAGAACGAGUGUGAGAGUGGAAAGUUCACACUGUGACGGUAGCUUACCAGAAAGGGACGGCUAACUACGUGCCAGCAGCCGCGGUAAUACGUAGGUCCCGAGCGUUGUCCGGAUUUAUUGGGCGUAAAGCGAGCGCAGGCGGUUUGAUAAGUCUGAAGUUAAAGGCUGUGGCUCAACCAUAGUUCGCUUUGGAAACUGUCAAACUUGAGUGCAGAAGGGGAGAGUGGAAUUCCAUGUGUAGCGGUGAAAUGCGUAGAUAUAUGGAGGAACACCGGUGGCGAAAGCGGCUCUCUGGUCUGUAACUGACGCUGAGGCUCGAAAGCGUGGGGAGCGAACAGG